ACGGAAGGCAGCAGUGGGGAAUAUUGGGCAAUGGGCGCAAGCCUGACCCAGCAACGCCGCGUGAAGGAAGAAGGCUUUCGGGUUGUAAACUUCUUUUAUAUAGGACGAAACAAAUGACGGUACUAUAUGAAUAAGCCACGGCUAACUACGUGCCAGCAGCCGCGGUAAUACGUAGGUGGCAAGCGUUAUCCGGAUUUACUGGGUGUAAAGGGCGUGUAGGCGGGAAGGCAAGUCAGAUGUGAAAUCUAUGGGCUUAACCCAUAAACUGCAUUUGAAACUGUUGCCCUUGAGUAUCGGAGAGGCAGGCGGAAUUCCUAGUGUAGCGGUGAAAUGCGUAGAUAUUAGGAAGAACACCAGUGGCGAAGGCGGCCUGCUGGACGACAACUGACGCUGAGGCGCGAAAGCGUGGGGAGCAAACAGGAUUAGAUACCCUGGUA
Molecule: ribosomal RNA, 437 nt
Filed under: uncultured Oscillospiraceae bacterium
Lineage: Bacteria; Bacillati; Bacillota; Clostridia; Eubacteriales; Oscillospiraceae
Description: bacterial SSU rRNA
Rfam family: Bacterial small subunit ribosomal RNA
Source: RNAcentral